Molecule: ribosomal RNA, 850 nt
Filed under: Kylindria peruamazonensis
Lineage: Eukaryota; Fungi; Ascomycota; Sordariomycetes; Glomerellales; Reticulascaceae
Description: partial large subunit ribosomal RNA
Rfam family: Eukaryotic large subunit ribosomal RNA
Source: RNAcentral
GCAUAUCAAUAAGCGGAGGAAAAGAAACCAACAGGGAUUGCCUCAGUAACGGCGAGUGAAGCGGCAACAGCUCAAAUUUGAAAUCUGGCUCUCGGGCCCGAGUUGUAAUUUGUAGAGGAUGCUUUGGGCGCGGUUCCUUCCGAGUUCCCUGGAACGGGACGCCGUAGAGGGUGAGAGCCCCGUACGGUUGGAUGCUAAGCCUGUGUAAAGCUCCUUCGACGAGUCGAGUAGUUUGGGAAUGCUGCUCUAAAUGGGAGGUAAAUUUCUUCUAAAGCUAAAUACCGGCCAGAGACCGAUAGCGCACAAGUAGAGUGAUCGAAAGAUGAAAAGCACUUUGAAAAGAGGGUUAAAUAGUACGUGAAAUUGUUGAAAGGGAAGCGCUUGUGACCAGACUUGCGCCUGGUAAAUCAUCUAGCGUUCUCGCUAGUGCACUUUGCCGGCUCAGGCCAGCAUCAGUUUGCCGUUGGGGAUAAAAGUUUCUGGGACGUGGCUCUCUUCGGGGAGUGUUAUAACCAGUUGCACAAUACCUUUCGGCGGACUGAGGUACGCGCUCCGCAAGGAUGCUGGCGUAAUGGUCAUCAGCGACCCGUCUUGAAACACGGACCAAGGAGUCAACCUUAUGUGCGAGUGUUUGGGUGUUAAACCCCUACGCGUAAUGAAAGUGAACGCAGGUGAGAGCUUCGGCGCAUCAUCGACCGAUCCUGAUGUCUUCGGAUGGAUUUGAGUAAGAGCAUAUAGGGUUGGACCCGAAAGAAGGUGAACUAUGCGUGUAUAGGGUGAAGCCAGAGGAAACUCUGGUGGAGGCUCGCAGCGGUUCUGACGUGCAAAUCGAUCGUCAAAUAUGCGCAUG